RNAcentral lists this long non-coding RNA (1170 nucleotides) under Vulpes vulpes (red fox). RNAcentral's name for it is "lncRNA (ENSVVUG00000012100.1)". The record is from RNAcentral. Lineage: Eukaryota; Metazoa; Chordata; Mammalia; Carnivora; Canidae.
GUUCUUGGAAAGUUAUGAGUAGCUGGCAGGACUUGCAGCCCACAUACUCAGGUAUGCAAGAAAUAAAAUUAUCUCUAGCCCCUCAAAUCAUGUCAUUCUGACUCAGAACUCCUGCCCCCAACUAAAUGCAUGUGAAACACCAUCCUGGCAUUACUGGGGGUCCCUCCGCCACAGCAUCUCGGAGAGUUUGUAGGGGGUAGGGGCAGUGGGGGCAGGGGUGCCUAAACUCCAUAUUCUGAAGCUCAGUGUUUGGAUCUCUGGACUCCUCACACAUGGACCUCUGAUCCUACCACCUUCCUGGAUAUGCCACUGCUGCCUGGCAAUGUCAGCCUUCCAUCUGAGGCCGACACUUCCCAUGACCCUUCUGGCCAGCCUGGGGCACAGCAUUCACUCCCCUGUCUUCCCAGCACUGGGUGCAAUGUCCAACCUGCAUAGGCCCCUGGGGAAGUAAAAUCAGGCAACUGAAGUCUCUUGCAGACAAAUUCUUCUUUUUCCCUGCCACCCUCCACCAAUAUAAGGAAGCAUGGAGCUUGUCUAUUAGUUUAAGUGGGAAAAGUGAAGGGGAGAGGGACCAGAGGAAAAUACAGAAAUCAAUAUCUCCCAAAUUAGCAUGACACUUAUAGUAUGCACAGAACAGACCCCAGGGGGGAGAUGCAGGAGUUUGCUUUUAUGGUAGGAGUCAAGGGUUGCUGAUGGAAGAUUCUAUAGUUUAGAGUCUUUCAAAGUGUUUUUCUACCUAAAAUUUCCAGCAUUGAAAAUGCAAAUGGUAUUUUGUCUCCAGGAAAGGCUGUUACAUCAAGUCAACAACAUCUGUAGUCAGCACUGUAGCAUGUUACCAUCACAGAAGAUGAGAGUCUCUUCAUCAUGCAGCAAAGCAUAGAAGGAGGUAGGACAACUGGAUGGAGAGGUCAGGAGACAGCUUUAAAAUACUGUAUUCAGUGUGCCCCCCCCCCCCGCCACCCCCGGUGGCUCAGCGGUUUAGCACCGCCUUCAGCCCAGGAUGUGAUCCUGGAGACCUGGGAUCGAGUCCCACGUCGGGCUCCCUGCAUGGAGCCUGCUUCUCCCUCUGCUUCUCCCUCUGCCUGUCUCUCUCCCUCUCUCUCUGUGUGUCUCUCAUGAAUAAAUAAAUAGAAUCUUUAAAAAAUAAAAUAAAAUAAAAUAUUGUAUUCA